Molecule: ribosomal RNA, 1261 nt
Filed under: Palaemonella tenuipes
Lineage: Eukaryota; Metazoa; Arthropoda; Malacostraca; Decapoda; Palaemonidae
Also listed under: 3 other names
Description: SSU rRNA
Rfam family: Eukaryotic small subunit ribosomal RNA
Source: RNAcentral
AAGUUGUUGCGGUUAAAAGCUCGUAGUUCGAGCUCAGUUCCGGACUGGCCGGGGAGGUCACCGCCCGGUGCUUCCCCGUCAGGCUCCGAACAGCCUUCGUGAGCGGAGGCCAAGCCGGUUCUGCCGGGGUGCUCUUUACCGAGUGUCCCGCGCGGCCGGCCAGUUCACCUUGAAUAAAUGAGAGUGCUCAAAGCAGGCUACUCUCGAAUACAAUGCCCGAAUGUUACCUGCAUGGAAUGAUGGAAGAUGAUCUCGGUUCCAUUUUAUUGGUGGUGGGAGCCCGAGGUAAUGAUAAACAGGGACUGUCGGGGGCAUCCGUACUACGACGCGAGAGGUGAAAUUCAGUGACCGUCGUAGGACGAACAACAGCGAAAGCAUUUGCCAAGAAUGUCUUCGUUGAUCAAGAACGAAAGUUAGAGGAUCGAAGGCGAUCAGAUACCGCCCUAGUUCUAACCCUAAACGAUGCUGACUAGCAAUUCGCCGUCGUUAUUCCCAUGACGUGGCGAGACGCCCCCGGGAAACCUCAAGUCUUUGAGUUCCGGGGGUAGUAUGGUUGCAAAACUGAAACUUAAAGGAAUUGACGGAAGGGCACCACCAGGAGUGGAGCCUGCGGCUUAAUUUGACUCAACACGGGAAACCUCACCAGGCCCGGACACCAGAAGGAUUGACAGAUUAAGAGCUCUUUCUCGAUUUGGUGGGUGGUGGUGCAUGGCCGUUCUUAGUUGGUGGAGUGAUUUGUCUGGUUAAUUCCGGUAACGAACGAGACUCUGGCCUACUAAAUAGUCGACGGGCGUUUUGGUGCAUGGGCCCCGUUCGACACAGUCUUCUUAGAGGGAUGAGCAGCGAGUAUAGCUGCAGGAGAUUGAGCAAUAACAGGUCUGUGAUGCCCUUAGAUGUCCUGGGCCGCACGCGCGCUACACUGAAUGGGUUAGCGGGUUGUCCUUCUCCGAGAGGAGCGGGAAAUCGCUUGAAAACCAUUCGUGAUAGGGAUUGGGGCUUGCAAUUGUUUCCCAUGAACGAGGAAUUCCCAGUAAGCGCAAGUCAUCAGCUUGCGUUGAUUAAGUCCCUGCCCUUUGUACACACCGCCCGUCGCUACUACCGAUUGAAUGAUUUAGUGAGGCCUUCGGACUGGCGGUCUUGGACUGGGGCGCCGGCGUUCUCCAGCAAUGGGGUGCCGGCGACCCGCCUAGACGGGCCGGAAAGAUGUCCAAACUUGAUCAUUUAGAGGAAGUAAAAGUCGUAACAAGGUUUCCGUAGGUGA